AUCCAGAAGACGUGUCACAAAUAGGACGAAAUGCGCAUCCUGGAU
RNAcentral lists this non-coding RNA (45 nucleotides) under Trichobilharzia regenti. Lineage: Eukaryota; Metazoa; Platyhelminthes; Trematoda; Strigeidida; Schistosomatidae. The record is from RNAcentral.